This 2923-nucleotide ribosomal RNA is filed under the name Klebsiella pneumoniae. RNAcentral describes it as "23S ribosomal RNA". It matches the Rfam family "Bacterial large subunit ribosomal RNA". Lineage: Bacteria; Pseudomonadati; Pseudomonadota; Gammaproteobacteria; Enterobacterales; Enterobacteriaceae. The record is from RNAcentral.
GGGUUGUGAGGUUAAGCGACUAAGCGUACACGGUGGAUGCCCUGGCAGUCAGAGGCGAUGAAGGACGUGCUAAUCUGCGAAAAGCGUCGGUAAGGUGAUAUGAACCGUUAUAGCCGGCGAUGUCCGAAUGGGGAAACCCAGUGUGAUUCGUCACACUAUCGUUAACUGAAUACAUAGGUUAACGAGGCGAACCGGGGGAACUGAAACAUCUAAGUACCCCGAGGAAAAGAAAUCAACCGAGAUUCCCCCAGUAGCGGCGAGCGAACGGGGAGCAGCCCAGAGUCUGAAUCAGCUUGUGUGUUAGUGGAACGGUCUGGAAAGUCCGACGGUACAGGGUGAUAGUCCCGUACACCAAAAUGCACAGGCUGUGAACUCGAAGAGUAGGGCGGGACACGUGGUAUCCUGUCUGAAUAUGGGGGGACCAUCCUCCAAGGCUAAAUACUCCUGACUGACCGAUAGUGAACCAGUACCGUGAGGGAAAGGCGAAAAGAACCCCGGCGAGGGGAGUGAAAAAGAACCUGAAACCGUGUACGUACAAGCAGUGGGAGCACCUUCGGGUGUGACUGCGUACCUUUUGUAUAAUGGGUCAGCGACUUAUAUUCUGUAGCAAGGUUAACCGUAUAGGGGAGCCGCAGGGAAACCGAGUCUUAACUGGGCGUUAAGUUGCAGGGUAUAGACCCGAAACCCGGUGAUCUAGCCAUGGGCAGGUUGAAGGUUGGGUAACACUAACUGGAGGACCGAACCGACUAAUGUUGAAAAAUUAGCGGAUGACUUGUGGCUGGGGGUGAAAGGCCAAUCAAACCGGGAGAUAGCUGGUUCUCCCCGAAAGCUAUUUAGGUAGCGCCUCGUGAAUUCAUCUUCGGGGGUAGAGCACUGUUUCGGCUAGGGGGUCAUCCCGACUUACCAACCCGAUGCAAACUACGAAUACCGAAGAAUGUUAUCACGGGAGACACACGGCGGGUGCUAACGUCCGUCGUGAAGAGGGAAACAACCCAGACCGCCAGCUAAGGUCCCAAAGUCAUGGUUAAGUGGGAAACGAUGUGGGAAGGCACAGACAGCCAGGAUGUUGGCUUAGAAGCAGCCAUCAUUUAAAGAAAGCGUAAUAGCUCACUGGUCGAGUCGGCCUGCGCGGAAGAUGUAACGGGGCUAAACCAUGCACCGAAGCUGCGGCAGCGACACUAUGUGUUGUUGGGUAGGGGAGCGUUCUGUAAGCCUGCGAAGGUGUGCUGUGAGGCAUGCUGGAGGUAUCAGAAGUGCGAAUGCUGACAUAAGUAACGAUAAAGCGGGUGAAAAGCCCGCUCGCCGGAAGACCAAGGGUUCCUGUCCAACGUUAAUCGGGGCAGGGUGAGUCGACCCCUAAGGCGAGGCCGAAAGGCGUAGUCGAUGGGAAACAGGUUAAUAUUCCUGUACUUGGUGUUACUGCGAAGGGGGGACGGAGAAGGCUAUGUUAGCCGGGCGACGGUUGUCCCGGUUUAAGCAUGUAGGCUGGUUGUCCAGGCAAAUCCGGAUAAUCAAGGCUGAGGUGUGAUGACGAGGUACUACGGUGCUGAAGUAACAAAUGCCCUGCUUCCAGGAAAAGCCUCUAAGCAUCAGGUAACAUCAAAUCGUACCCCAAACCGACACAGGUGGUCAGGUAGAGAAUACCAAGGCGCUUGAGAGAACUCGGGUGAAGGAACUAGGCAAAAUGGUGCCGUAACUUCGGGAGAAGGCACGCUGGUGUGUAGGUGAAGUCCCUGCGGAUGGAGCUGAGACCAGUCGAAGAUACCAGCUGGCUGCAACUGUUUAUUAAAAACACAGCACUGUGCAAACACGAAAGUGGACGUAUACGGUGUGACGCCUGCCCGGUGCCGGAAGGUUAAUUGAUGGGGUUAUCCGUAAGGAGAAGCUCUUGAUCGAAGCCCCGGUAAACGGCGGCCGUAACUAUAACGGUCCUAAGGUAGCGAAAUUCCUUGUCGGGUAAGUUCCGACCUGCACGAAUGGCGUAAUGAUGGCCAGGCUGUCUCCACCCGAGACUCAGUGAAAUUGAACUCGCUGUGAAGAUGCAGUGUACCCGCGGCAAGACGGAAAGACCCCGUGAACCUUUACUAUAGCUUGACACUGAACAUUGAGCCUUGAUGUGUAGGAUAGGUGGGAGGCUUUGAAGCGUGGACGCCAGUCUGCGUGGAGCCAACCUUGAAAUACCACCCUUUAAUGUUUGAUGUUCUAACGUUGGCCCCUUACCGGGGUUGCGGACAGUGUCUGGUGGGUAGUUUGACUGGGGCGGUCUCCUCCCAAAGCGUAACGGAGGAGCACGAAGGUUAGCUAAUCCUGGUCGGACAUCAGGAGGUUAGUGCAAUGGCAUAAGCUAGCUUGACUGCGAGCGUGACGGCGCGAGCAGGUGCGAAAGCAGGUCAUAGUGAUCCGGUGGUUCUGAAUGGAAGGGCCAUCGCUCAACGGAUAAAAGGUACUCCGGGGAUAACAGGCUGAUACCGCCCAAGAGUUCAUAUCGACGGCGGUGUUUGGCACCUCGAUGUCGGCUCAUCACAUCCUGGGGCUGAAGUAGGUCCCAAGGGUAUGGCUGUUCGCCAUUUAAAGUGGUACGCGAGCUGGGUUUAGAACGUCGUGAGACAGUUCGGUCCCUAUCUGCCGUGGGCGCUGGAGAAUUGAGGGGGGCUGCUCCUAGUACGAGAGGACCGGAGUGGACGCAUCACUGGUGUUCGGGUUGUCAUGCCAAUGGCACUGCCCGGUAGCUAAAUGCGGAAGAGAUAAGUGCUGAAAGCAUCUAAGCACGAAACUUGCCCCGAGAUGAGUUCUCCCUGAGACUUUAAGUCUCCUGAAGGAACGUUGAAGACGACGACGUUGAUAGGCCGGGUGUGUAAGCGCAGCGAUGCGUUGAGCUAACCGGUACUAAUGAACCGUGAGGCUUAACCUUACAACGCCGAAG